Molecule: ribosomal RNA, 433 nt
Filed under: uncultured bacterium
Lineage: Bacteria
Description: partial 16S ribosomal RNA
Rfam family: Bacterial small subunit ribosomal RNA
Source: RNAcentral
AACGAACGCUGGCGGCAUGCCUAACACAUGCCAGUCGAACGAGACCUUCGGGUCUAGUGGCGCACGGGUGCGUAACGCGUGGGAACCUGCCCUUAGGUUCGGAAUAACUCCCCGAAAGGGGUGCUAAUACCGGAUAAUGUCUUCGGACCAAAGAUUUAUCGCCUUUGGAUGGGCCCGCGUUGGAUUAGCUAGUUGGUAGGGUAAAAGCCUACCAAGGCGACGAUCCAUAGCUGGUCUGAGAGGAUGAUCAGCCACACUGGGACUGAGACACGGCCCAGACUCCUACGGGAGGCAGCAGUGGGGAAUAUUGGACAAUGGGCGAAAGCCUGAUCCAGCAAUGCCGCGUGAGUGAUGAAGGCCUUAGGGUUGUAAAGCUCUUUUACCCGGGAUGGUAAUGACAGUACCGGGAGAAUAAGCUCCGGCUAACUCCGUG